AACGAACGCUGGCGGCAUGCCUAACACAUGCAAGUCGAACGAGACCUUCGGGUCUAGUGGCGCACGGGUGCGUAACGCGUGGUAACCUGCCCUUAGGUUCGGAAUAACUCCCCGAAAGGGGUGCUAAUACCGGAUAAUGUCUUCGGACCAAAGAUUUAUCGCCUUUGGAUGGGCCCGCGUUGGAUUAGCUAGUUGGUAGGGUAAAAGCCUACCAAGGCGACGAUCCAUAGCUGGUCUGAGAGGAUGAUCAGCCACACUGGGACUGAGACACGGCCCAGACUCCUACGGGAGGCAGCAGUGGGGAAUAUUGGACAAUGGGCGAAAGCCUGAUCAAGCAAUGCCGCGUGAGUGAUGAAGGCCUUAGGGUUGUAAAGCUCUUUUACACGGGAUGAUAAUGACAGUACCGGGAGAAUAAGCACCGGCUAACUCCGUG
Molecule: ribosomal RNA, 433 nt
Filed under: uncultured bacterium
Lineage: Bacteria
Description: partial 16S ribosomal RNA
Rfam family: Bacterial small subunit ribosomal RNA
Source: RNAcentral